CUGCGAGUCACCUCCACCGAUAACCACGCUCCAGAGAGGAGGUAAAGCGCCCUGCAAAGGGGAAAAAUGAGUUUGGGCAAGCGGCAGACCCUGGAAAACUCAUGUUGGGGAAGAGCCGCUCCCAGCGACUCCACUCAGGUGCCAAGUGGGGAUGGGAUGGUGACUCCAGCGGCCUGUUCCAACGCUUCACUUCUUAACCCACCCAAUCCCCUCGCUUCAAGGACCAGCUCUCAGGACAAGUGUCAGCACCGUGAAAACGCAGCUGGGCCUUCUUCCACCGUUCGUACAUAACAUAAAUGCCCCCGCAGCUCUGACAGAGCACGGAGGUCGUUUGGACUAAGCUGGUGAGGCCCAGGGAGGACUGGUGCACAGCGGCCGUGUAAAGGGAGGAAAAUUCAGGGCUGUCUUACGCGAGGACUCGCUUCUCCACGAUGUGGGUGAGGGAGUUGAACACGCCUUGCCGGACGUGAGCCUCCAGCGGGGGGUAGAAGUUGGGAAUGAUCUGGAAACAGGAGAACAACAGCGUUAGAGCCAUGAACCCCCCUGCCUGCCCUCGGGCUUGUGCCAGGCAGCAGGACACAGCCAGAUGAGCUAAAACCACCGCUCAGCUCGAGGCCGUUUCCUCUCUCGUCCAGUCCUUUGCUUCUGGAAGUAGCAAGAUGACUCAUCCCCGAAAUCUCGGUCAUCCCGGGAACCUUGCACCCAGUUCUUUUGGACUCGGGCAGCGCGGGGAUGGGAGGACACGGAGGGAGCAAAGUGAUGCAGCUCAGAGCCAGAGAAGAUCUCGCUUCCAAGAAGCACUAUCAGCCCUCUCUGAAACCAAACUCCCAGAACCAGCAGCUCUUUGCAGUGCUGUUCCCAGGACCAAGGGGCAGGAGCAGCUCUGCUCCCUGCCCAAGGAGGGACCGACAUCCUUCAGAAGGGAGAUAACAGGUCCAACUUGUCCCCCCACCACACGGAGAUUCCGUUUGCCCUCAGGGGACGACACCGGGCCAAGCAUUAAGUACUAAAGGCAACAAUUCAGAAGCCUUUUUUCCUACCAACGCUCAUCAUUCCGCAAGAAUUUCAUUGCAGAGCCGAGAAGUCUCAGGCGUGUUCCCACAGCUAACGAACGACACGUGGGCCCAACGCUCCGAGCGCCAGAAACGGCCCCGGAUUUAUCCAGAGCCCACAGGGACUUGCCAAAGCCUCUGGUCGUUGGGUUGAAGAGGUGAAUAAUUUGGCCGAGCUCUUGGCAGAUCAGCGAGGGGAAAAUCCCUCCUUAACGCAGCAGGGUAAGGGGAGGUUAAGAGGGUUGCCAGCAGAUACUGAGCUAUUCCGCAGGCGAUUUUGCAAUCAAGGCAGAACAGACCAGAUGAUGCACUGAGGAAUGUGCAAUAAAAAGAAGAGGGAACAGCUUGUUUGUUUGUUUGUUUUUUUGGCUCUGAAGAGCAGGCAGCGAGACGACGCUGUUUUGCUGCUCAAGUAUCACCGGCUCUAAGGAUUCGUGGAAUUCCCUUCCUGCGGGAUGGGGCAGCAACGCAGCUUCGCUCCAAAACUCGGGGGGGUGAAGACAUGCCCUGUGUGAACCUGCGGCACCAAUCCUGCCCUCGGGACACUGAGCAGGGCUCAGCGCUUAAGUGCUCAGGGCUUCCAGACCCCUGAGCAUCUCUGUGUCCCCGUGCUGGGCUCUCUCCUUGUCCUUCUUAAACUGGGGAGCGCAGAACUGGUCCCAGUAAGUCCAGAUGGGGCCUCAGCAGCGGGAGGACAACCUGCUGGCCACGCUCUUCCUCACACACCCCAGGUACCGCUGGGUUCUUGGCCACAUGGUCCCUCUACCCUGUCCUGGGUGACACUCCCAAGUUGUCCCGCUGGUGACAGCCCUCAUUGCUCAUCCCCCCGUCAUGUAACUCAUUUGCAAGGCAGAGAAUUCCCUGGAAAGAGCGCGGAGCGGCUCAC
Molecule: long non-coding RNA, 1938 nt
Organism: Columba livia (rock pigeon)
Lineage: Eukaryota; Metazoa; Chordata; Aves; Columbiformes; Columbidae
Exons: 2
Source: RefSeq, a predicted model, not a curated record